GUAGGUGGCAAGCGUUGUCCGGAAUUAUUGGGCGUAAAGCGCGCGCAGGCGGUCCUUUAAGUCUGAUGUGAAAGCCCACGGCUCAACCGUGGAGGGUCAUUGGAAACUGGGGGACUUGAGUACAGAAGAGGAAAGCGGAAUUCCAAGUGUAGCGGUGAAAUGCGUAGAGAUUUGGAGGAACACCAGUGGCGAAGGCGGCUUUCUGGUCUGUAACUGACGCUGAGGCGCGAAAGCGGGGGGAGCAAACAGGAUUAGAUACCCUGGUAGUCCACGCCGUAAACGAUGAGUGCUAAGUGUUAGGGGGUUUCCCGCCCCCUUAGUGCUGCAGCUAACGCAUUAAGCACUCCGCCUGGGGAGUACGGCCGCAAGGCUG
RNAcentral lists this ribosomal RNA (373 nucleotides) under uncultured organism. RNAcentral's name for it is "partial 16S ribosomal RNA". It matches the Rfam family "Bacterial small subunit ribosomal RNA", at positions 527 to 896 of the family's 1533-position model. The record is from RNAcentral.